AUUAUUUCCCCGGUGGAUUGUACAAAGAACCAAGGUUCUAACGGAAAGCGGUGAAAAUCCGCUGCGGACGCGCCACUGUAACCGGUAUUAUCGGAAUCGUUUUGCCACUGGGACACUGGGAAGGCUGAUUCCGACGGAUAUCCAUCCAAUCCGGAAGCCAGGAGACGGGAACCUUCAUACAAACAAC
RNAcentral lists this non-coding RNA (187 nucleotides) under Salinispira pacifica. The record is from RNAcentral. Lineage: Bacteria; Pseudomonadati; Spirochaetota; Spirochaetia; Spirochaetales; Spirochaetaceae.